This 266-nucleotide ribosomal RNA is filed under the name uncultured archaeon. RNAcentral describes it as "partial 16S ribosomal RNA". It matches the Rfam family "Archaeal small subunit ribosomal RNA", at positions 748 to 1010 of the family's 1478-position model. The record is from RNAcentral.
CAGCCGUAAACUAUGCGCGUUAGGUGUACUGGUGACCACGAGUCACCGGGGUGCCGAAGGGAAACCGUGAAACGUGCCGCCUGGGAAGUACGGUCGCAAGGCUGAAACUUAAAGGAAUUGGCGGGGGGAGCACCACAACGGGUGGGAGCCUGCGGGUUUAAUUGGACUCAACGCCGGAAAUCUCACCGGAUAGGACAGACAUAUGAUAGUCGGGCUGAAGACUCUACUUGAUGAUCUGAGAGGUGGUGCAUGGCGUCAGUGACUGU